Parelaphostrongylus tenuis is the source of this 73-nucleotide non-coding RNA. NCBI's taxonomy places the organism in Eukaryota, Metazoa, Nematoda, Chromadorea, Rhabditida, Metastrongylidae. The record is from the annotation of a GenBank genome assembly.
GGCCUUCGUGGUGUAGUGGCAGCACAUGCCCCCAGUAAGGGUGAAACGCGUGUUCAAUACCCGCCUUUGGCCG